This 463-nucleotide ribosomal RNA is filed under the name uncultured bacterium. Its description in RNAcentral is "partial 16S ribosomal RNA". It matches the Rfam family "Bacterial small subunit ribosomal RNA", at positions 28 to 507 of the family's 1533-position model. The record is from RNAcentral.
GACGAACGCUGGCGGCGUGCUUAACACAUGCAAGUCGAACGGAAAGGCCUUUUCGGUGGUACUCGAGUGGCGAACGGGGGAGUAACACGUGGGUGAUCUUCCCUUCACUCUGGGAUAAGCCCAGGAAACUGGGUCUAAUACCGGAUAGGGCCGCACUUUAGUGUGUGUGGGUGAAAGUGUUGUCGGUGUAUGAUGAGCCCGCGGCCUAUCAGCUUGUUGGUGGGGUAAUGGCCUACCAAGGCGGCGACGGGUAGCCGGACUGAGAGGUUGGUCGGCCACACUGGGACUGAGAUAAGGCACAGACUCCUACGGGAGGGAGAAGUGGGGAAUAUUGCAGAAUGGGCGCAAGGCUGAUGCAGAGACGCCGCGUGGGGGAUGACGGUGUUCGGGUUGUAAACUAAUUUCGCCAGGGACGAAGCGUGUUGUGACGGUACCUGGAGAAGAAGCCCCGGCUAACUACGUG